AGCUAAUGAGAAGACUAAAAGUGAUAAAUACAAUUAUCAAAGGAAAGAAUAGCAGUAGCAAAGGCUGGUAAGAUAGAACGAACCAAAAAGCAGAUUAAUUACUGAAAAGUUAUCUUCAGUAGCUUGUUACUAUUAUUAGUAUUCUCAGCAAGUAUUUUAUCAUAAAGCAUUAGUGUUGUUUAGUUGUUAAUUUGCAAGUAUGUUUUGUAAUAAUAAUUAGUUCUACAAUUUGCUGUCACACGCAAACUACAAAUGAUAUUAGGUAUACCCCUUUUCUUGUUAACUUCCAUGCGAGAACCUUUCAAUUUAAGGGUUUCAAAGAGAACUUUGGAAAAACCAAAAGCGCUAUCUAAUUUCUGGAUGUAUUUCUGGAGGGUAUCUUUACAGGGUAAAGUUUUGGAGGAAUCAGCACAUUUUUCUCUUUCUUCUUUGAUGGUCUGCUUCAGAGUUUCAUUCUAAACAAUCAAUCGAUAUAGAAGGUAUAUGUAAUUCAAGUGAAUCCAAUAUAUGAAAUAUAUUAUAAAUGAUAUCUCAAUACCAUAAAUUUGAUUAUGGAUGUCAAUACAGAAAAACUUACCUAUAAACAUUCUACUCCUAUAAAAAAUAGUGAAGGAAAUAUUACAGAAAACACAACAAAUGGCUAUUUAUCAGAAGACACUAAUUGUACGGCUAAUUCGAGUGAAUUAUUUUCAGAUAAUGAGAAUGAGAAUAUAAAUGAAAAUGAUUUGAUAUGUUAUACACCUAAUGUUUCAGAAACUGAGACUUCGUUUUUGAAUAUCUCUGAAACGUCUUUAUUAGAUACCAAUAAACUAUUCCAGACUUCAAGUGAAGAAAAACCAGCAGUUAUUCCAAGUACACCGUUAAGUUCAUUACCAUUUAUAUCAAAGAUUAAUGAGCAGUAGACAUCUGAUUUAGAAACACCUCAAAUGAAUAAAAGUUUUCCUAUAAAAUCAUCAGAAAGUAUCGAACAAACUGUUUAUUUAAAAAAAUGUACUCCAAAUAAUUCUUAUUUUAAGAAUAUAUUUGAUGAAUUUACUUCAAAGUCUACUAUGAUAAAUUAUGCAAGAAUGAGAGGAAGAACUAAAAGGAAAAUUUAUAAGAAUACUUUUGCUAACAUGAACGUUGUUAAAAUUGAAUUGAAUAAUCAAGAUAGUGAAAAUGAUAUAGUAGCUAUAGAUACAUGCAGUGAUAAAGAAAAGAAAAAUAUUCUUCUGAAAAUUAAUAGCGCACAAGAUUUUUUCUCUGAUGAUUGAUUGCUAGCGUAAAUCAAAUUUGUGCUAGUGCUUCGCUGAAAAAAUGAUAUACAUAACAUUGAAAGUAUGAAUAAAAAUAGGCGCUUCGAAGAAGUAUUAGUAGAUAAUAUUACAGUAUUAAAAACACAUUAUAAAGUAGGAAAAAAUGAAUGUAAUGAAAAGAAAAUAUUUAAUAAUGAUAGUAGAAUAACAUUAGAUGUAUCAAUAAAUAUUAUAGGAUUUACUAUAACAAAUGGAAAACUCGUAAAUGUAUCAGAGUCUGCUAUAACAAAAGCAAAAUCUUUUCUGGAAAUAGAUGACAUUGUAUCUUUAACGAAUAUUCAAUUAAACAAUGAAAGUAAUUUACUUAAUAAUCAAAAAAUAAAAAUUCUAUCAUCUUCUUUUGUAAUAGUAGGAGGUCGAUCAUUGAAUAUUUUCAAUAAAGCUUUAUCCUAUUGUAAGAAAAUGCUAUUGGUACAACUAAAAGAUAUUUAAAUUAAUUAGAACGUUACAAAUGAAUUAAAUUAACCUAUGAAAAUAUUAACAUAAAUUUAAGUAAAUCUCCUGUAAAAAAAUCUAUAGUUUCAUAAAUUGGAUUAACAAUGAUGAUAUUCGUGAUACUAACCAAUGCAAUAAUUUGCUUAAUAAACCAAUAAAUAAACGAAAGAGUCUAAA
RNAcentral lists this unclassified non-coding RNA (1907 nucleotides) under Polistes fuscatus (common paper wasp). RNAcentral describes it as "uncharacterized LOC122526715, transcript variant X2". Lineage: Eukaryota; Metazoa; Arthropoda; Insecta; Hymenoptera; Vespidae. The record is from RNAcentral.